This 4763-nucleotide long non-coding RNA is filed under the name Homo sapiens (human). RNAcentral describes it as "HSALNT0347915". Lineage: Eukaryota; Metazoa; Chordata; Mammalia; Primates; Hominidae. The record is from RNAcentral.
CCCGAGAAGCCGGGACUACAAGCACCUGCCACCACACCCGGUCCAAUCAGCAUAAUGUCAUCAAUGCAAUGGAACGGACUGAUUUUCUGCAGAAAGGGAAAUCAAUCAAGGUCCCAGUGGACUAAAUGAUGAUAUAAGGCUGAAGAAUGGACGCAUCCUGUAAGUAGAACAGUAAAGGUGUAUUUCUGGUUUUUCCAACUGAAAGAAAACUGCUUCUAAUGAUCUUUACUAACAUAUAUAGCAAAACAAAAAAGUCAUUUUUUUUUCAGGUGAAUAGCUGUAUACCAAAUACCUGAGGAUGUGUUAAUUUGCCCAAGCGAUGAAACCACCUCUGGAACAGCAGCUAUAAUUAGAAUCACCACCUGAUUAAGUUGACAAUAAUCCACUGUCAUUCUCCAAGAUCCAUCUGUUUUGUGCACAGGCCAAAUAGAUGAAUUGAAUGUGGAUGUGGUGGGAAGUCACUAUGCUCACAUGUUUUACGUCCUCCGGGAUUGCAGCAUUACUUUUAGUUUACUAUUUUCCUAGGUAGAGGCAGUUAUAGUGGCUUCCAAUUAUUUUUCUUUCCAUAAUAUCCCUUAUUUCACAAGUCGGGAAACCAAUGUAGAGAUUUUGUCACAUUCUGAAUGUGUCUAUUCCAAUAAUGCUUCUGGAACUGGAGAAAUAAUCACAGGACUUGUUCAGGGACAUGCUGAACCCACUGAGACAAAUAUGAACUAAUGAUCAAUUAAUCACCAAACCUUCAUAAGCCUCUAUUAUGCCUCCACAGUGACAUUUUGGGUGACCAGAAAUUAGUGUCAUUUUAGUCAGUGUUCAGUAAUCUUCCAAAAGUCUAAUUAUUUCUAUUUUCCAAAGCAAAAGCACACUGGUAAAUAACUAGAUCUCUUUAGGAAAGACCAGAAGAAAGAUUAACAGUAUAAACACAUUUUUUUUGGCAGUGCAAUGGAGUUCUUCCUCAAAGGGACUUAGCCUCCCUUUCAUUUAAGGGGUUCUGGGGUGGUAAAUUGUCUCAGCCUGGAAAUUAAUUGAGGUGUUAUGUCUCUCUGUUUUGGUGAUUUGAAUUAGACUUCUGCUCACUAGACCUGGAACUUUUCCACCUAUACACAUCAUUCAUUAGACUGCCCAUCUAUUUCUUUUCUAGUGACAUCAUUAUCAACUAGCUAAUGCCGUAGGUCUUUGGGAGUUACAGUAUUCUGGUAACUGCUUUGACUCUGCAGUUUAUUGUGGUGACUAUCUGGUUUUUGAUGAUCCCUGUCAAAUAGCAGCAGUUUCCACUGUAAUAUCUGACUUGCAGAAAAGAGUAAAGAGAGAGCUCUCAAGGAUGCUAGGAUUCCCCCUAUAAAUUUAUUUCUCAUAAUUGUGGUAAAAGGUAUGUCUUCUGGACUCUCCAAUUGGAUGAGCAGUUCUUACAUGAUAAAUCUAUUCAAACAUUUCAACCUCCCUAAGACUUUAGAUGCCUUCCUCCAUAGUAUACCAAGGCAAUCCUGACAUUUCAACUUCAUUUAUUGUAGGCCACCUUCAGUUUCAUGUUUCAACCUAUGGACAAAACAAACUGUUAGAGCCCUUCCUAGACCACUGACCUUAGUGAGCCAUAGUAAUACAUCAGACUAAUCCAACUUUAUAUUCCUUCCACCAUAAUGCCACACUCUUAAGACCCAUUCCCACACCUAUUUCCCCAGAUUUAUGUGUGUAUAAAUUGGAAAAAUCAUUCUGUUCUUCUUGCAGGUCAUUCAUUGUACCUUACCGUUUGGGCUCUGCUGAGACUUAAGUCUAAUUGUAGGUCUAGAUGCAGAGAGGGGUGGGUGGAGAUAGGUCCUAAGAAGAAUCAGCAGUACCUUGCAAGGCAAUUAUAGAUUCUUCAGGAAGAACAGAUAACCUCCUUAGACAGGGGUGGAUGGCUGCUUCUCCCAGCAAGAAAACUGUCCAAAUUCAAGGGUUCAGUGUCCCCAGCUUCAUUGGGAUCUGUCAAUAUGCCCUCAUUCCAAUUUUCAGGAUCCCAUUCCUUCCCAAUCAUUUUAACAGAAAACACCUCGUGGGGUUGGAAAUUCAAUUUGUGUUGUAAUUAAGCCACUCACAGGGAGAUUCAGGUUUAAUUUUUAGAAAUCUCAGACCUGUAGGUAGAAAAGAUAACGGUGACUUUUAGGGCAUAAAAAACAGACUAUUACAUUAUUUAGGUGGAACUUGAGCUGGAAUUUGAAGUCCUGCACUUCUUUUAUUUCUGGAACAGUGAGGAGUAACUGACCAGCUCCACGAUACUCUUAGGUUUGAUAAAAAUAUUCUAAGGUAGCAAAUACAUGGUGACCCACAACUUCAACUUCUACAGGUAUUUGAUCACAAGUGUCCAAUGGUUAUAUUUUCCAUAUCUCUUUUGUCAUAUUAUACCAUGGAUUUCUAAUGCUCUAUCACCGGAAAUAGUCAUUAGUGCCUUUAAAUAUAAUCACAUGAGGCAACUAAAUUCUCAAACCCCAGAAACAAUUCAGAAAACUCAUCCAUAUGAUUAUGUUCCUUUAGAACAAUGUCAAGAAGCAACAUCUGUAUCCAUCAUCAUUUAUCCAGGGAAACAGACCAGUAGGAGAGAUAUUGUAAGAUUUUUUUUCAAGAAAUUGGUUUAUAUGAUUGUGGGGACUGAUAAGGCUAGUCUAAAAUCCAUACGGCAGGCUGGAACUCUUGGUUAUGGGCUGCAGAUUCUGGCCACAAGUUGAAUUUCUCCUGCCUCAGAGAAGCUUCAGCUUUGCUUUUAAGGCUUUCCAACUGGUGAAAUGAGGCUCUGCUAAAUUAUCUAGGAUAAUGUCUCUUAAAGUCAACUGAGUAUUGACUUUAUUUAACUCUAUAAAUUACCGUCACAGUAACACCUAAAUUAGUAUUUAUUGAAUAACUUGUGACUGUAACUUACCCAUGUCAACAAUAAGUCCAUCACAAUGUCACAUAAAAAACUCCUACUUUAUUAGAAAAUGGGAUAUAAGUGGCCCAUGAGUUUGCAGCUUCUCCUCUGUUAUAUAAAUUUUCCUUUUUUAGUACUUAAAAAAAUCCUCCAAAUCUCCAUAUAUCAGUGUGUUUAAUUUAAGAGACUGCAACAUGAUCAAGUUAAAUAUCAAUAGUAAAAUUACUAUACCAACAUUUCAAUGAUAACAGUUAGACAUGAAAUUGUUAAAUAUAAUUUGAAAGGAUUUUAUAUGUUAUUUGGCCAUUUAAAUUUAUUAUUAUAUUUUACAAAGUCAUUGAAAAAUAUUAUAAUUGAAUAUAAUGUGAAGUAAAGAAGGGUGCAAAAUAGAUAGAAUAUGCUCAUAUUUGUGUGUAAGAUAGAUGCCUGAAGAAGGAACAUUUAGGACAUUAUAUCAAUAUCUUCUGUGUGUGAAGAGAGAGUUGCAAAUCACCUUAGGACUAAAUUUUGAAAUUUUUAUUUAAUCACUUAAGUGAUUUUCUUUGUUCAAGCCACUAUGAAACUCAUUACUCCAGACCAGGUUGAAACAGCAGCUUCUGUGGCCUGAAAAGAUGGCAAUACCACUUGGUGUAAGGAGCCGUCCCUGUGCGAAGAAGUUAGCGAUUUACACAGGGACUAGGAUUUAUCUUGGGAGGAAAAGAACACCAAACUUGAUCUUUCCUCUUAUACAAAUAUUUCUGUUGAAUUGAAGUGGGCUGGAUCAGGUUCUUUGGUAAGAAAUGAUAUCAAUGACUCCAAAGAGGCACUCACCUUCAGAGAAGAGGUCACUGGUGCGGGUGACUGGAGCUGAACACAAGAACAGAAGUGACCCUGGCAGUGGCUGGUCCCGCAACAGCCUGUAACAGGGAACAUAAUCAACCACAAAUUUUGUGGGUAGUUUAGGUGUUGAAAAACAAUAGUGAUCAUUAAUAUUGUAUAUACAUUACCUUUUACUAGAUGUCCUACGUAGUUUACACACGAAAAAGAGGAACUAAAGGCUGUGAAAUUCCAACUCAGAAUAUAAAUCAAAAACGAGAAAGCCUUGGUGGUAACUUUGAACCAAUCCCUUAUCUCCUAAAGUGGCAGAGCAGAUAAACUGAGGACCAAUAUCAAGACUGGACUGUCAAAAUUGCAGUUGCAGUGCAAACGAGAUACUCAAUUCAGUUAUGUCUCAAAGUAAGAAGAAACCACUGCUGGGGAAAUAAUAUAAUCCCAAGAAAUAGGAUGUAAAUAUUGUGGCAAAUGCAACAAGGUUGAACACUUUGAAUCUCCACAUCUUUCUAAAUUUCCCUUGUCUUCCAUUUCACAACUCUACAUCCAUACUCAGCACAGGAAAAAUAUCUAAUCUGUUCUUGUCAAGUUGAAUUAUUGGUUAGGGAUUUCUGUGUUAAUCUCAGAUGGAAAAUGUUUAAUUACAAGGUCUUUCCUGUAUCUAAGAGUUAUUACAUGACAGAACAAGUGGACCAACCUCUCUACCUCCAACAGCCUCUUUAUCGCUGAGAUUUUCUGUGUGCCCAUGGCAAGCAGAAUUCCAAGACAAUCCUUGAGAUUUCUACCCCAUUGUGUAUAAUGCACUGCUUUUGAGUACGGGUGAAGCCUGUAAAUAUGAUGCAUUAUCAACCUCAUCAUUAUGUUCUAUUAUAUGCAAUAGAGACUUUAGCAGAUAUAAUUAAAGUUCCACAUUCAGUUAAGUUAAUCAGAUCGGAAAUUAUCUAAUCAGAGUCUGUCCUACUCAGGUGAGGUAUCAAAUGGGGGUCUAGAGUUUUAAAAUGCAAAGAAUCAGAGAGACAUUCUCCCUAUGGCCUCAAACAAGAAAGCAAAUAGCCAUAUUUUGAAUUUCCGUGAA